RNAcentral lists this long non-coding RNA (2183 nucleotides) under Mus pahari (shrew mouse). Its description in RNAcentral is "lncRNA (MGP_PahariEiJ_G0004794.1)". Lineage: Eukaryota; Metazoa; Chordata; Mammalia; Rodentia; Muridae. The record is from RNAcentral.
ACAUUCCGUCCACAGCCAGGACAGAGGACGGGGUUCUGUGAGGACACUGAGGGCAUCAGCUCACAGCUGCCAGUGAUCUUCAGAUGCUAACUAGCCCUUCAAAGUUUUUGAAACUCCUUCAGAUAUUUGUUCUGACAGGGAUGUGGAGAACAUGGGACUGGUAAUGGUGGCCAGUUUCUAUCUCUUGGAAGAUCACACUCACCUGGUCCUCCUGUAGGAACCUCUCCACCUGAUCGUAUGCCUUUGUGUACUUGUGCUUAAUAACCAGUUCACACCAUCGAUGGCGAACCUGGGGAAACACAACGGGAAACCUGAGAGCAGACAGUCCUUAGUGUGGCAUGGAGAGAAAAGCUGGGUUACCAGAGACUUCCUAGCUGCCGUGAUGGCUGUGAGCAAGGUGGGAUCCAGGAGAGAGAAGGGGACCACACAGCUCAAGACCAGCCAGCCCUGGCCAUUGAGUCCUGGUUGCAGAAGAGAGUAUGGGGACCGGAUGACUGCUGGAGGAAGAGACGAGACCUUGGGGUGCUCACACCACCUCUGGGAAGUACAUCCAGGGGCACAAUUCUGGGAAUUUCCAAGACCAUUUGUACAGAGGACUCACUUGGACUCACACCAACCCCAGCUAUGUGGCAAUUCUGUCCCAUGUACAAGGUUACUGUGAACCAGAAGCUCCCUCUGAGCCGAAAGACUCUUCACUUGGAAACACCACAGAGGGACCCUGCUCUUCUGAUGUCUACAGUCUUAAAGCACUGCUGCUUAGAAGGCCGCUCCUACUCCUGAAAUGUGCCUCAAAUUCAGGGCUCCGAACCUGACCACCAUCAGGAUCUCUUCUGGAAACAGCUGAUACCUAGCCUAGCUCUCCUCCCAACCCAGGGGACAACAGUGCCAGCAUCCCUCUGCUCUGACCAUAGGGCCUGACACAGUCUUUCUGUUCAAGUCCAGAUGCAGGGUACCACUGGUCCUCUGGCCUUUUUUUGGUUUUGUCCCUGAAGAACAGAGCAGACACGGCUCCUUACUUAAACCAUUGUUUACAGAACAGACUAUGGGGUGUACUGACCUAGGUCAUACAUUGCUAGCCAAGUAUUUCUUCCCCAAACCUACCAUGUCGACGGACAUCCAGGUGGGAGCCCCUGAAACCUUGGGAUGAACCCAGCAUGACAUGCAGGGUGGCCCUGAGUGCUGGUCCCAACCCCCAAGUCCUAUUGCUGUCUCUGCAGUUCCAAUUCCAGUCUCAACAUUCAUUCUGAGGGUUAUUAAAGGGGAGAUCCUGUGUCUCACUGGUCUGUGGGAACAGUACAGGGGCUGGUCCAGUGCUGGGGGGCCAGGCAUGUAGGGUGAUGCCAGUGCAGAGAGAAUGAGUGCAGCCAGCAAGAGCAGAAGGUUCCUGGCUGUAGGCAUGGUCUGCCCUGCUUUAUGCUCCCACCACAGGCCCAGAGUCAUGGGGCUAACCACUCAGGGGCUGGAACCAUAGCCUGAGCCAAAAGCAACCUGUUUCCUUUACAAGCUGAUUAUCUGAGGCAUUUGCUGGACUAACAGCUGCCUAGCAUACACCUAUGCCAGUGUUUUACAUGAAGUUGCAACAAGGAGUCAGCCACUGAUACCCCCCUCCCCCAGUGCUAUGGUUGCAGCUCAACAUGCAACUACUGCAUGUUGGCUCAUUCUUUGUGUUUUUCAAACUUCCAUAUAUAACUAUUAGAAAAACCUGGGAUCUCAGUGUCUACGGACAGAUACAGCAACUUAAAUCCUCACGUCAUGUUUGUAAGUUAGAAAGUCAAUAUCAAAUAGAAUCCUUUAGCUUUGUUGCAGAACCAGUGUUGAGGCAGGCCAACAGGUAGACCAAGCUGGCUGCUGUGUCCCUAGGUGGCAAUGCUGCAGGGUUCUGUGGCGAGCUGGUGAAAGCAAGACAUUAAGCCACUGAUCCCAGUGGCCUCCAAGUGCAGUGUCUGCCUGCAGCCGGCUUCUGAAUGGACAGCGCUGCUGCAAACGGAGAAUGCUUUCAAGGACUUUGAAAUUAUAAUGCACAGUUGGAAGCUAUAAAAUGCUUUGAAGAAUACCACCCAUCCUAUUUAUGACAGGAAGCCCCUUUCUUUCUCAGUCCUUUUGAUUUUGAAAUUUACUACUAAAGGAAAAAAAAAAAUCUGUACAGGGAACAUGAUCUGGGAAGCCCAUUAAACCUCAUUUGG